CCCUACAGCUGUAAUAGGUGCACUCCCCCUACAGCUGUAAUAGGUGCACUCCCCCUACAACCAAAGCUUAGAUUUGUGCUGUAACUUAUAAUCAGUACAGUUUCGUCUCCAUGUGCAUGGAGUUGUUUUAGUUUAGAGAGAAGAUCUUUUAGUUAACUAUAAUCCUCUAUGUGUAUGGAGUUGUUUUAGUAUAGAGAGAAGAUCUUUUAGUUAACUAUAAUCCUCCAUGUGCACAUGGUUGUUUCACUGUUGGGAUAUCUUCUAGCUAAGUAUAAUCUACCACAUUUGUUCAGCAAAAAAAUGUAUCAACCAUUAUUUUUUUAUACCCCCAAAAAAAACUGAAGUAUUAUUUAAUGGUUUAUUUUAUACUUUAAUGUUUGUUUUUGAGUCGUUAUUUAAUAAUUUAUUUCAUAGCUUUUAUUUAUUUUUAAAAACAUUUAAUUUUUUUUUUUAAUAAUUUCAUUUUAUAAUUGAUUUAAUGCUUGUGUCUUGCCAAAUUUUACCUAUGAACUAAUUGUUUUUUUUUUUAAAUUGUUGAUGUAGAUGAAAUUAAGAAGUUAGCUCCUUGAUAUAUUGUCCUAUAUUUUUUUCAAGUUCAACCGCUUGCAAUGUCUACCAUAUUUAUCCCAGCAAAAAUAAAAAAUAAAUAGUAUCCAACAACACGGGACCAACCCAUUUAAAAUCUGGCUGGUUUAAGUUUUUAAAAAACCUGGUUUAAGUUUUUAAAAAACCUGUCUGAGCAGAAUUUAAUACAUUAUUUUAAAGAGGCUGAAGUUUUGUUAUUUCUCUUUUGUUUAUACAUCUAACAUCAAUUAAUUUAUUUACCUAAACAAUGUGAUCCAGGGUUAAUUAAAUAAUUUAAUUAACAACACUAAAAGGUUUGAUAUUUUUGCUACUCAUUAUUUAGUUUUUAAUUGCUAUUUACUAUUGUGUUGAAUUCAACUAUUUUUUUGUUGUUUUUGUUUAGUUAUAAACCUGAACCUGGCUGUGAAAAAUGUAUGAAUCACAGUCUACACUUUUGUUACAAUAUUUUGUAAAAAUUUAUUUUCCUAAUUUCUUUUUCAUUAAAAAAAUCAUCAGUCUUUCUAAAUUUAUGUGUGUAUUGUUUGAGAUAUGAUGCUCAAAUAUUAAAUAGAACAUUGCAAAGUUAGAAAUAAAGUAACAUUUAUUUAGUGAGUGGCAACUCAAUUAAGAAACCACUCUUUUGCUAUGUGAAUGUUUUUUAAGUAUAGGAAAUUGUUAAAAUAUUGUGUUUGUUAGAAAGGACAAUGUUAAAAUUUAUUUGCUUUGAAUUUUAUUAAAAAGAAAACAAAAUAAUAAAGAAAAACUUUAUUUAAACUGUUGUUAAAUAAAUAUAAGGAAAUCAUUGUUUGUUUUGACUGGUGUAUUUAACCUUCGACCUUUAAUCUAACAAAGAUGAAAGUAGCAAGUAGCAUUUACAGAUAGCAUGUGUUCAUAGACUAAUUGCAUUGACAUUUUUGUGAACGUUAUCAUGACAAAAAAAUCUAGAAAAUUAAGUAAAAUAAAUUUAACUGUUAAUACCACUUGCAGUUCUGUGCAUCAAAUUGUGAACUUAAUUAUUGCGCCCAUGAUAACAUAAUGUAAACAAAAAUACAUUUUCUCACAAUUUUAGUGUGUUUACAGUAUCAUCAUUGUUGUGACCCAGAUCUAUUUACUACCACACAGGAGAUUCACUCUUUCUAGCUUUAUAGUUUUACUAUAAACUAUGUUGUACAAAGAUAUUUUUAAAAAUUAUUUAUUCCUAAUGACAGGGUUAUGAUCAGUAUUUAUGUUGUAGAAA
Long non-coding RNA from Physella acuta, 1801 nucleotides. RefSeq lists it as uncharacterized. Lineage: Eukaryota; Metazoa; Mollusca; Gastropoda; Physidae. The record is from RefSeq and is a predicted model, not a curated record.